RNAcentral lists this ribosomal RNA (253 nucleotides) under uncultured bacterium. RNAcentral describes it as "partial 16S ribosomal RNA". It matches the Rfam family "Bacterial small subunit ribosomal RNA", at positions 524 to 776 of the family's 1533-position model. The record is from RNAcentral.
UACGUAGGUGGCAAGCGUUAUCCGGAAUUACUGGGUGUAAAGGGAGCGCAGGCGGGAUAGCAAGUCAGCGGUGAAAAUUAUGGGCUCAACCCAUAAACUGCCGUUGAAACUGUUAUUCUUGAGUGGAGUAGAGGCAAGCGGAAUUCCGAGUGUAGCGGUGAAAUGCGUAGAUAUUCGGAGGAACACCAGUGGCGAAGGCGGCUUGCUGGGCUCUAACUGACGCUGAGGCUCGAAAGUGUGGGGAGCAAACAGG